Dreissena polymorpha is the source of this 689-nucleotide long non-coding RNA. RefSeq lists it as uncharacterized. NCBI's taxonomy places the organism in Eukaryota, Metazoa, Mollusca, Bivalvia, Myida, Dreissenidae. The record is from RefSeq and is a predicted model, not a curated record. The transcript has 3 exons.
UUCUUUUUUUAAGUGUUUGUAGCCAGUUAGUGUUUGUCAAGCUGUUUAUGAGUGUGCACUAUUCCUAUAAUAAAGCAGCGACAAGACUAUUUACACAUGGAUCGGGCUUUUGUAGCUGUUUUGAUGUUUUGCCUCGUAUACGAGUAAACUGCGACAAGGAUUAUCCAUGCCUGGAGACGAAGGAAAACUGUCCGCCUGGGAUGACCUGCUUCGGCCCAAACGUGUUCUGUGAAGGGGCCACCGGUAUCCCAUACUGCACCAACUGCAUCGUGGGCUACAUGGGCGAUGGAUGUAAUGGAGACGUGGAUGAAUGUACAGAGUACUUUGAGGACGUCUGCAACAACAUCGGGGACUGUACGAAUACCAUUUGCGGCUUUUAUUGUAGUUGUUUCGAGGGAUUUAUUGGUACAGUACCAUAUUGGAAAAAAGUCUUCUUGGUCCUACUAAAACAUACUGAGUUAUAUUUAACCUUAUAAAUUUAAAGCAGUUGUAGCGGUAUUUCACAUUCAACUUUUGAACAUCAAGCUCAAAGUAUGUUCAUUUAAUGUUCUACCUUGCAGUCCAUUGUUUAUGCCCAUACAUUUGUUGUUGUUUAAUAUCAUUUAUAUGCCGUAUCUAACGCUGCAAAUUUAAUGUUUGUAUUUAUUGCAGUAUAUUUCUAUCUAUAUCUUCUAUAUAUUCUUUUUUGG